This 684-nucleotide long non-coding RNA is filed under the name Monodelphis domestica (gray short-tailed opossum). Its description in RNAcentral is "lncRNA (ENSMODG00000047126.1)". Lineage: Eukaryota; Metazoa; Chordata; Mammalia; Didelphimorphia; Didelphidae. The record is from RNAcentral.
AAACAGGACAACUAUGAUAGUCUGAGGGGAUGUCUUCUCUAUUAAUUGAUGUUGAAGAUUCCCCAGGGAAGGCUUCUUCUGGGAGUUCUGAGUUCAAGUUGGAAGCUAGUGAAAAAUCUGCUGACUGGACCCGAGACCCUGUUCCUGGUGAACCUGUGAAUUUCAGAAGGCAUGAAGGUCUAUGGUUUCCAGCAUCUGGCACAGUAUCCUUGGGCAAAGAUGAUCAGUGGCAUGCACUAGAAUGUCAGCAGCAAUUGACAAGGAAAACUUCUGUAAAAAGAAUGAAGAUAAAACUUGGCUUUUGAUCAAGCAAUGAUCUCUACAGUCAGGAAAUAUAAAAUGCCCAAUGAGUAAUUUACAACAAUUUGAUGUUUUGAUGUGGUCCAAUUCAUCUGUCCCCCAGACAUAUGUGUUGUUCUUGCUCUUCAGAUGUAUCUGUUUCUUCAUGACCCCAUUUGUGGUUCUCUUGGCAAAGAUACUAAGUGGUUUGCCUUUCUCCUCUAGCUCAUUUGACAGAUGAGGAAACUGGGGCAAACAGGGUUUAAUGACUUGCCUAGGGUCCCACAGCUAGUAAGUGUCUGAGGUCAGAUUUGAACUCAGGAAGAUCAGUCUUCCUGACUCAUUUCAGAACUCUAUCCACUAUUUCACCUAGCCACCCUCCAAUCCAGCUGUAUAUAUACAUAU